AUCUGCCUUCCAAGCAGAUGGCCCGGGUUCGAUUCCCGG
Molecule: transfer RNA, 39 nt
Filed under: Phaeocystis rex
Lineage: Eukaryota; Haptophyta; Phaeocystales; Phaeocystaceae
Description: partial tRNA
Rfam family: tRNA
About the family: Transfer RNA (tRNA) molecules are approximately 80 nucleotides in length. Their secondary structure includes four short double-helical elements and three loops (D, anti-codon, and T loops).
Source: RNAcentral